GGGGGGGCGGGAAUCUUCGCGCAAUGGGCGAAAGCCUGACGCAGCCAUGCCGCGUGAAUGAUGAAGGUCUUAGGAUUGUAAAAUUCUUUCACCGGGGACGAUAAUGACGGUACCCGGAGAAGAAGCCCCGGCUAACUUCGUGCCAGCAGCCGCGGUAAUACGAAGGGGGCUAGCGUUGCUCGGAAUUACUGGGCGUAAAGGGAGCGUAGGCGGACUGUUUAGUCAGAGGUGAAAGCCCAGGGCUCAACCUUGGAAUUGCCUUUGAUACUGGCAGUCUUGAGUACGGAAGAGGUAUGUGGAACUCCGAGUGUAGAGGUGAAAUUCGUAGAUAUUCGGAAGAACACCAGUGGCGAAGGCGACAUACUGGUCCGUUACUGACGCUGAGGCUCGAAAGCGUGGGGAGCAAACAGGAUUAGAUACCCCUGGUAGA
RNAcentral lists this ribosomal RNA (430 nucleotides) under uncultured Caulobacter sp. Its description in RNAcentral is "bacterial SSU rRNA". It matches the Rfam family "Bacterial small subunit ribosomal RNA", at positions 348 to 794 of the family's 1533-position model. Lineage: Bacteria; Pseudomonadati; Pseudomonadota; Alphaproteobacteria; Caulobacterales; Caulobacteraceae. The record is from RNAcentral.